Long non-coding RNA from Lytechinus pictus (painted urchin), 4530 nucleotides. RefSeq lists it as uncharacterized. Lineage: Eukaryota; Metazoa; Echinodermata; Echinoidea; Temnopleuroida; Toxopneustidae. The transcript is spliced from 4 exons. The record is from RefSeq and is a predicted model, not a curated record.
GGCGUAAAAAAAGGAGCGAACAAUGAGCGGGAAAUGUUGAAUAGUGGACGGAAGAGUUUUACGCAACACAAACAUACAAAUGGCAAUACAACGAGAACGACUAUAGAAGGAAUUUAAACAGCGAUUAUGUAUUCUCAAAUAAAUGGACAUCCUACAUAUUUUUCCUUUCCUUAUAUACUGCCGCGUACUACAACCAGUGUACGAUUGAUUCGAUGAACUUUUGUUUCAAAAGCUAACAGGCUAGCAGGUUUGGGAAAAUCUGAAGCUCUAGUUCCAAUUCCAAAGCUGCAGCUGUGGAGAUCUGAUAUACAUGUAGACUUCCGUACCUAUCCAAGAUUGGUCUUUAUGUAUUCAUCAGAGAUCUUUAUAUAUUCACACACAGGAAACGAUCUUAUCAUCCUCGACAUCGAGACGUCAUCCAUCAGCGCAAGAAUUGACCUGAUGUCGACAAAGAAUAACCUCAUUGAAUACGAUUGUUGGCUGCCUUAUGCACCAGAGCUAUUAACUGGAAGUUGUAAAGGCCCCGGCUAAAGGCCAUCGCACACCUUACGACUGUUCGCGAAUUUUCUGAAAAUGUGAAUGGACCAUAACGUUUUAUUUGAGGUUAAAAUUAAUUGAAAGAAUACUAAUAUAAUUCCAUUUUGUAAGAUUGUAAGCCUUUAUUUUGGAGUAAAGGCCAAAUUAGUUUCAAAUCGUAGGCAAUCGUACGACUGCUAAGACGUCAUUACGACUAGAUAUUACAUUUGUUUUUAUUCUAAGACGGAUCAUAGCAUAGUCAUAGAUUUGAACAUAGGUAUUCGUAUGAUGAUUUCUAACAUUACACAGUAAGAUAUUCCAAGUCUCAAUAUUAGCAUCACAUUCUACUACCUUUUAUUCCAAAGUUAAGUCGCAGACCAAUCGCAAGGUGUGCGGUCGCCCUUGCACAUCGCCAUCCAUGCGGCCUUGACAGCGAAGAAUGGAACCGAUUUUCAUCAGAAGGUGAUGAUGGCGGGUCAGGUGGAUAGGAGAAUGCUGCUUGGAAAGCAUCCGCAUGUGUAUUAUUUUGGUGAGGUGAGAUCUGACGACAUCCAUUUUUAUACCAUGAGAACGAUGUGGAUGAUAUGGACAUCGAUCGAAGAAUAUACCUUUGCGAUACAUGGUUAGAUGGUUUGAAAGUUAAUCACCCGAUGCUGUACGUCUUUAAAUGCAUAAGCAAAAUGUUCGCUUUAUGCAUACGCUUAAUCGUCAAGCAAAUGCUACCAGGCAGUUAGCAAUUGCUUGAGCUUACUAGCAAAAGCAUUUGAUCGCUCAUUUUUACGAAAUCAAGCAAAAGCCUAGCAAAGGCAAUUGCUACAUUUUAUGCAUCUGACCCAAUAAAAAGUAGAAAUUGCAGUAUUUUCAGUAUAUUCCUACGUAUACACUGCCCGUGAUGUCAUAAAUACUUCUUGAAAGAGAUUUUUGGACACCAUCUUGUCUUCCAACUCCAGAAACUUUGCUCGCUCUAUUCGCUCGCUUGCAUAUUGUCUUAUUGAUAUUAACUGUAAUUCAUUACUUUAUAUCACAACAAAUCCAUUGCAAUACAGCCAUCGAAAAAAAAUAUUAUAGGUCUGUAACUGAAAGAUGGUAGUAUUAUGUACACGGUUAUAUACCUCCGUACAUAGCCCUUGGUGUGGGGUGUCUAAAUUUUCAGGUCAAUAUAUCACUAUCAUCCCCCCAAAUGCUCGGACCAGAUUUACGCCAGUCCGCCAAAGGAUGUAAACAUGACGAGAUCCAGAAUAUUUCCAAGAGGUAUAAUCUUUCGUUAGACUUCACAAAUCCCAAAAUAUCUAUCUUAACAUAUGGGUGGCACUUUUAAGUCAGAAUAUUUAAAAGGUGGAUUGAUGAUGCCAAAUCCCUUUUUUCAUUUUCUCACUAUUAUCCAAAAUGAACAUACUAGAUUGUAAUGUCUUAUGUAUUUUCUGAUAUUGGUGUAUAAUUAAAAAUUGACAAUGAUUGCUUUCUUGGACUGAUAGUUGUGUGGUUUGGUUGUGUUUACAUUUUUACAUUAUUUUACGUAGGCACUACUCAUCUUCAGUCGCCUUGCAGUUUUUACAUAAUUAUUUAUUCACAAGUUAGGAGCAGAAGUGUGGAAAAUUUUGUAGGCCCUUUACACCCCCCCCCCCCUUCUUGAAUGCAAAUUCAGAUACAAAAUAAGACUCUGUGGUGACGCAAAUAUUUUAAUUCGACCGCUUUGUUUCGGACAUAAAUUUACUGACAUUUUCCUGGAAUCUUCUCUUAUGAAUUCGUCCAAGUUGCCUACAUUUCUUGUUCCUCUUUCUUGUAAUUAUCUACUAAUACUAACUUUAAGGUCGUCAGACGUAAGUUUUACUCAGAAAAUAUGCAUAGAAUUUGGAAAGUAAAAAUAUUUCAUUGUAUGAUUUCCAUUGUUGUUUAAUUGAAUUUUUUAGUCUGCCUGGAUGAUUUACUCUGUAAAAACACUGCUUAAACAACGUGCUAUUUCUUUUACUGUGUAUCAUUAAAUGAUUUAUGUCACAACCAUAUAUAGGAAGCGAUCAAACGGGAUGGGGGGGGGGUGCUAACCUCCCCUUUGAUUUUCAAAUUUUGUUCAGCAUUCCAUGGGAGAGGGUCAUCUUGCGCCCCCUCCCCCCCCCCCCCCCCCUCAUUAAAUCGCUGCCUCUGGUUGCACAUCCUUUUGGCUCAUUGUCUUUAUUCUCGUAACGGUUCCAUAGAAAGCUUGUCCCUCGAUCUUUCCUUCUUCCUGCCCCCCUCUUCCGUUCUCUCUCUCUCUCUCUCUCUCUCCCUCUCUCGCCUCUCCCUUUCUUUUCUAUCCCCCUCUUUCUGCACAUCUUCUUUGCACAUGAGCAAAGAAGGGACUUGCACACUUGGUUCUGCGACCAUAUGAUUACAGUAUAUACUUUGCAAACGAUAUUAAUUCUCGCAAAUGGUUCACUGACUAAUUUUGAAAGCCCCUUUAUGUAUAUCCUGUCUGAAAUGCCUUUGAGAAAAGAGUGAACACAGUGAAAUGCAUCUUCACAUUAAUUAACCCGAUUUAACAAUCACUUGGCUUGAGCAAAAGAAUAGAACAAACUUUCAAGUAUGCUAAGAUCCGAAACAUCUUCUGAUAGAUGUUAGAAACAUUUACUCAAAUUUGUCUAAUGUACAAGUAUAACAUUUUAGCACAGCCAAAGUAAUGUAAUAUUUGUUCUUGCAGCAGCUUUGUAAAUUCCAUAGAUUCUUUAUGUAUUACAUUUUUUAAUGUGCAAAAAAUAUAGAGCACAUUGUUGAAAAAAACUAUUCAAAUAUAUUUAGAAUAUAUCAAAAUAAACAUGUAUACAAUGAAAUUACUUUCAUUUUGUGAAGUUCAUUCUUCUAAAAUAUCAAUUGAAAAGUUGAAGAAAAUAUUUUCAAAUGUCGAAAUGCCAUUCUUGAAAUUAAUCUAUAAGCUGAAAAUGUCGUGAAUUUGCAUUUCACCAAUUUUACUCUAUCAAAUUGAUACCCAUAAAAUUACCAUUUGAAAAUAUCUGCCAGCAUGAAUAUUAAUUAGGCUUAUACAGUGCAGAAGGUUAUCUAAAUAGUGAGGGUCAUUAUCCCCUACUUUCUAUGGAUACAAAUUUUCAGUGACAAGUCAUACAGUUAAUGCCUAAAUCAAAAUUUCAUAUGGGCCUUUAUUCAUAAAUCUUGGGGAAAAUGAAAUUGCACCUGGAAAAAAUACAUGUAUCUUUAAAAAACCUGGAAGAGUACAAUCAGACAUAGGCCUUCUAAUUUUAGUUUACCUUCUGCAUAUUGUACAACGUUAAACCUGGCCGGUAUUCUGAAAAUCACAUUAUCUUUGCAUCACCUUUUCUAUAUUAAAUGCCAUAACUAAUUUUAAAUGGUAAUUAUGGCUGUUUUAUAUCUUUCUUUGGCAUACUUAUAUCGCCUUUAAUCAAUAUGAAAAAGGGGAGUACAUUGUGGUUAUAUUAUUUUAAGGAAAAGGUACUGAAAUUUUAUAAGUAAUGACCAACUCGCAAGGAAAAAAAGACACGGCCAAUAACGCGUUCACAAAGUUAAGAGUUGUAAAGAUGACAUGAUUUUCAGAAUACAGGGUCCAGUUGCAUAAAAGAUAAUAUAAAAUAGUGAUAUGGAUCCUAAUCUAAUGAUUGGCUGAAAUCAAUCACAUGACCAGUAAAUUUGCUAAUGACUGGUGCUCCCAAUGAUAAUAGUCUUUAAUAUAGCGCAUAUCACAAAAUAUUACUAUUCUUUCUAUGCGCUGAGGAAAAAAAAAAGCUCUUUUGACCGGUCAUGGUGUUGGAAUGAUGGAUUAUCAAAUAAGGAUCCGUAUCGCUAUCUUAUAAAAAAAGACACAUUUCUCGGGCAUUAGAAUAAUUACACAUACUUGUUUUCCUUUGAAAUGGUCUAAAUGCCCUCGGCUAUGCCUUGGGCGUGUUAGAUCCUUUCUCAAGUUACCCUGUGCGUGUAAUUAUUUCUAAUGCCCUCCAUGUGUAUUAUUUAUUAAGGUAAUUUUUUGAGGGGGUAGGGAUGCCAUAUCCCCAAGGGCCCUAAUGCAUGAAA